This 70-nucleotide small RNA is filed under the name Salix viminalis (osier). Lineage: Eukaryota; Viridiplantae; Streptophyta; Magnoliopsida; Malpighiales; Salicaceae. The record is from RNAcentral.
CUGCAUGCAAGUAUUGCAAGAAAAACCAAUCAUUCUGAAGAUUGGUGUGUUGCAGAAGAUUCAGUGCAGA